This 473-nucleotide ribosomal RNA is filed under the name uncultured Desulfobulbus sp. RNAcentral describes it as "bacterial SSU rRNA". It matches the Rfam family "Bacterial small subunit ribosomal RNA", at positions 916 to 1381 of the family's 1533-position model. The record is from RNAcentral. Lineage: Bacteria; Pseudomonadati; Thermodesulfobacteriota; Desulfobulbia; Desulfobulbales; Desulfobulbaceae.
GACGGGGCCCGCACAAGCGGUGGAGUAUGUGGUUAAUUCGAUGCAACGCGAAGAACCUUACCUGGUCUUGACAUCCCGGAGACCCUUAGGAAACUAGGGGUGCUUCCAUCUGGAAGAAUCUGGAGACAGGUGCUGCAUGGCUGUCGUCAGCUCGUGUCGUGAGAUGUUGGGUUAAGUCCCGCAACGAGCGCAACCCUUGCCUUUAGUUGCCAGCAGUUCGGCUGGGCACUCUAAAGGGACUGCCGGUGUUAAACCGGAGGAAGGUGGGGAUGACGUCAAGUCCUCAUGGCCUUUAUGACCAGGGCUACACACGUACUACAAUGGCCGAUACAAAGGGCAGCGACACUGCGAGGUGAAGCCAAUCCCGUAAAAUCGGUCUCAGUCCGGAUUGGAGUCUGCAACUCGACUCCAUGAAGUUGGAAUCGCUAGUAAUCGUGGAUCGGCAUGCCACGGUGAAUACGUUCCCGGGCCUU